This 237-nucleotide ribosomal RNA is filed under the name uncultured bacterium. RNAcentral's name for it is "partial 16S ribosomal RNA". It matches the Rfam family "Bacterial small subunit ribosomal RNA", at positions 1264 to 1500 of the family's 1533-position model. The record is from RNAcentral.
GGAGCGAAUCUCCAAAAAUUAGUCCCAGUUCAGAUUGCAGGCUGCAACUCGCCUGCAUGAAGUCGGAAUUGCUAGUAAUCGUGGAUCAGCAUGCCACGGUGAAUACGUUCCCGGGCCUUGUACACACCGCCCGUCACACCAUGGGAGUCGGUAACACCCGAAGCCUGUAGUCUAACCGCAAGGAGGACGCAGUCGAAGGUGGGAUUGAUGACUGGGGUGAAGUCGUAACAAGGUACC